GAUGAACGCUGGCGGCGUGCCUAAUACAUGCAAGUCGAGCGAACAGAUGAGGAGCUUGCUCCUCUGACGUUAGCGGCGGACGGGUGAGUAACACGUGGAUAACCUACCUAUAAGACUGGGAUAACUUCGGGAAACCGGAGCUAAUACCGGAUAAUAUAUUGAACCGCAUGGUUCAAUAGUGAAAGACGGUUUUGCUGUCACUUAUAGAUGGAUCCGCGCCGCAUUAACUAGUUGGUAAGGUAACGGCUUACCAAGGCAACGAUGCGUAGCCGACCUGAGAGGGUGAUCGGCCACCCGGGAACUGAGACACGGUCCAGACUCCUACGGGGGGCAGCGGUAGGGAAUCUUCCGCAAUGGGCGAAAGCCUGACGGAGCAACGCCGCGUGAGUGAUGAAGGUCUUCGGAUCGUAAAACUCUGUUAUUAGGGAAGAACAAAUGUGUAAGUAACUAUGCACGUCUUGACGGUACCUAAUCAGAAAGCCACGGCUAACUACGUG
RNAcentral lists this ribosomal RNA (497 nucleotides) under uncultured bacterium. RNAcentral describes it as "partial 16S ribosomal RNA". It matches the Rfam family "Bacterial small subunit ribosomal RNA", at positions 28 to 507 of the family's 1533-position model. The record is from RNAcentral.